Molecule: small RNA, 89 nt
Filed under: Lutibacter profundi
Lineage: Bacteria; Pseudomonadati; Bacteroidota; Flavobacteriia; Flavobacteriales; Flavobacteriaceae
Description: Flavo-1 RNA
Rfam family: Flavo-1 RNA
Source: Rfam by way of RNAcentral
AAUUAACAAACACAGUGCGUUAGCGAUAGCAGUGGUAUCCUUUUUUGAGGGAAACGGAAAAAAAGAUAUAACGGAUAGCGCGACCUGAA